This 507-nucleotide ribosomal RNA is filed under the name uncultured bacterium. RNAcentral's name for it is "partial 16S ribosomal RNA". It matches the Rfam family "Bacterial small subunit ribosomal RNA", at positions 28 to 523 of the family's 1533-position model. The record is from RNAcentral.
GACGAACGCUGACGGCGUGCUUUAGACAUGCAAGUCGAACGAGAGAGCCCUUCGGGUUAGUAAAGUGGCGAACGGGUGAGUAACACGUGGGCAAUCUGCCCUUCGUUGGGGGACAACCGGGGGAAACCCCGGCUAAUACCCCGUAAGCUUGUCGGGUCGCAUGGCCUGACAGGGAGAGGUAGCUUCGGCCAUCCGGCGAAGGAGGAGCCCGCGGUACAUUAGCUAGUUGGUGAGGUAAAGGCCCACCAAGGCGACGAUGGAUAGCUGGGCUGAGAAGAAGAUCAGCCACACUGGGACUGAGACACGGACCAAGCUCCUACGGGAGGCAGCAGUCGGGAAUCUUGCACAAUGGGCGAAAGCCUGAUGCAGCAACGCCGUGUGAGCGACGAAGGCCCUAGGGUCGUAAAGCUCUGUUGUUAGGGACGAAGGGCGAAGGGUUAAUAGCCCUUAGCCUGACGGUACCUUUCGAGGAAGCCCCGGCUAACUACGUGCCAGCCGCCGCCGUAA